GAUCCUGGCUCAGGAUGAACGCUAGCUACAGGCUUAACACAUGCAAGUCGAGGGGCAGCAUGAACUUAGCUUGCUAAGUUUGAUGGCGACCGGCGCACGGGUGAGUAACACGUAUCCAACCUUCCGUUUACUCAGGGAUAGCCUUUCGAAAUAAAGAUUAAUACCUGAUAGUAUGGUGAGAUUGCAUGAUAGCACCAUUAAAGAUUUAUUGGUAAACGAUGGGGAUGCGUUCCAUUAGG
This 239-nucleotide ribosomal RNA is filed under the name uncultured bacterium. RNAcentral describes it as "partial 16S ribosomal RNA". It matches the Rfam family "Bacterial small subunit ribosomal RNA", at positions 15 to 245 of the family's 1533-position model. The record is from RNAcentral.